RNAcentral lists this ribosomal RNA (927 nucleotides) under uncultured bacterium. RNAcentral describes it as "bacterial SSU rRNA". It matches the Rfam family "Bacterial small subunit ribosomal RNA", at positions 8 to 916 of the family's 1533-position model. The record is from RNAcentral.
AGAGUUUGAUCCUGGCUCAGGACGAACGCUGGCGGCGCGUUUUAAACAUGCAAGUCGAACGAGAAUCCCGGUGCUUGCAUUGGGAGGAGAGUGGCGAACGGGUGAGUAACACGUGGAUAAUCUACCUCUAGGAUUGGGAUAACUACUCGAAAGGGUGGCUAAUACCGGAUAAGAUGGUAGCUGCAUAAGCAGCAGCCAUUAAAGAUGGGGACCGCAAGGCCUAUCACCUGGAGAUGAGUCCGCGGCCCAUUAGCUUGUUGGCGGGGUAACGGCCCACCAAGGCUACGAUGGGUAGCCGGCCUGAGAGGGUGACCGGCCACAUUGGGACUGAGAUACGGCCCAGACUCCUACGGGAGGCAGCAGUUAAGAAUCUUGCGCAAUGGGGGAAACCCUGACGCAGCGACGCCGCGUGGACGAUGAAGGCCUUCGGGUUGUAAAGUCCAAUAAGCAGGGAAGAAUAAGCAGCGGGAAAUAUUCGCUGUGAUGACGGUACCUGCCUAAAGCCCCGGCUAACUACGUGCCAGCAGCCGCGGUAAUACGUAUGGGGCUAGCGUUGUUCGGAAUUAUUGGGCGUAAAGGGCGUCUAGGCGGGGGAUUAAGUUAGGUGUGAAAUCCCUGGGCUCAACCCAGGAACUGCAUCUAAAACUGGUUCUCUUGAGUUCGGGAGAGGAGAGCGGAAUUCCCGGUGUAGCGGUGAAAUGCGUAGAUAUCGGGAAGAACACCAGUGGCGAAGGCGGCUCUCUGGCCUAGAACUGACGCUGAAGCGCGAAAGCGUGGGGAGCGAACGGGAUUAGAUACCCCGGUAGUCCACGCUGUAAACGUUGUGUACUAGGUGUUAGUGACUUGUUCACUAGUGCCGACGCUAACGCAUUAAGUACACCGCCUGGGGAGUACGGCCGCAAGGCUUAAACUCAAAGGAAUUGACGG